CGUGUGUAAUCACGUGCUCGAUCCAAUAGUUAUCGUUUCAGUAUCUCCGGAUACGAAGAAAUUCGCCAAGGGAAGUCCGUAAACGGUAGUAAACCGGCAGAGUUUUCGCUCUGUGUAGAAACCGUCGAGUGCAUUUGGAUGGUAACUGAUCUUUCUACAUUGCAAGUCACAACAUUAGUAGAGACGACUGACGUUUCCAAACCAGCAGCGACCUGGUCCUGAAUUGUUGAUCACCUUCGUCGGUCACUGGAAGUAAUAAGUAAAUACUCGCGGUGGUGUUCGUACACAAGACGAAGGUAGUGCCGAUCUACCACCGUUUACGGACUUUACGCGGCAAAUUCCUCGCAUCCAGGAAUUUGAGAUGUUAUUCCGAGCAUGAAAUUACACAACCUUCUGUAUGCGUGAAAAUCGCAAUCAGAACUGUACGGAGCGAAUACGCAUGAGCGAUUGACAAACAACAG
RNAcentral lists this unclassified non-coding RNA (461 nucleotides) under Bombus terrestris (buff-tailed bumblebee). Its description in RNAcentral is "misc RNA ENSBTSG00005038540.1". The record is from RNAcentral. Lineage: Eukaryota; Metazoa; Arthropoda; Insecta; Hymenoptera; Apidae.